This 421-nucleotide ribosomal RNA is filed under the name Triticum aestivum (bread wheat). RNAcentral's name for it is "partial small subunit ribosomal RNA". Lineage: Eukaryota; Viridiplantae; Streptophyta; Magnoliopsida; Poales; Poaceae. The record is from RNAcentral.
CAGCAGCCCCCGCGCCCGGCCGGCCCCUCCGAAUUCACCCCCUUCACCCCCUUCACCGCCGUCAUCUCCUCCUCCUCCCGCCGCCCAGAUGCCAACGGCGGCGACACCGUCGCGUGCCCCAACUGCGGCGACGCCUUCUCCUCCGAGCACGCCGUCUCGGAGCACCUCGACGGCUGCCUCGCGUCGGCCGGCGGCGCCCGCGCCCGCGCGGCCGCGUACCUCGCCGGCAACCCACCCCCCGCGGCCGUCGAGGUCGUCAAGAAGCUUCUCGGCAACCUGCUCAAGGAGCCCGGCAACGACAAGUAUAGGAGGGUCAGGCUCGGUAACCCUAGGAUCAAGGAGGCCGUGGCGGACAGGGAGGGCGGGCUUGAGCUCCUCGAGGCGGUCGGGUUCACGAUCGGGGAUGAGAGCGGGGAGCUCU